UACGUAGGGACCGAGCGUUGUCCGGAUUUAUUGGGCGUAAAGAGCUCGUAGGCGGCCGUCCACGUCGGGUGUGAAAGCUCGGGGCUCAACCCUGAGAGGCCAUUCGAUACGGGACGGCUUGAGGCAGCUAGGGGAGAUUGGAAUUCCUGGUGUAGCGGUGAAAUGCGCAGAUAUCAGGAGGAACACCGGUGGCGAAGGCGGAUCUCUGGGGCUGUUCUGACGCUGAGGAGCGAAAGCUGGGGGAGCGAACAGG
This 253-nucleotide ribosomal RNA is filed under the name uncultured bacterium. Its description in RNAcentral is "partial 16S ribosomal RNA". It matches the Rfam family "Bacterial small subunit ribosomal RNA", at positions 524 to 776 of the family's 1533-position model. The record is from RNAcentral.